AUAAAAAAAUGUAAGGUCGUAAUAUUAGCCACUUUAUAGCACUCGAUUCACUUACUUUACUUAGAAAAUAAAAACAUUUUUUUCAUUGGUAGAUAGCCAAAUUAAUUGAUUUUUAUUGAUUCUCUUAGUCCUUUUUCAAAAUCUAUAAUUAC
Molecule: long non-coding RNA, 152 nt
Organism: Bradysia coprophila
Lineage: Eukaryota; Metazoa; Arthropoda; Insecta; Diptera; Sciaridae
Source: RefSeq, a predicted model, not a curated record